RNAcentral lists this ribosomal RNA (217 nucleotides) under uncultured bacterium. RNAcentral's name for it is "partial 16S ribosomal RNA". It matches the Rfam family "Bacterial small subunit ribosomal RNA", at positions 114 to 334 of the family's 1533-position model. The record is from RNAcentral.
UACAUCGGAACGUACCCAGUAGUGGGGGAUAGCCCGGCGAAAGCCGGAUUAAUACCGCAUACGACCUAUGGGUGAAAGUGGGGGAUCGCAAGACCUCAUGCUCGUGGAGCGGCCGAUAUCUGAUUAGCUAGUUGGUGGGGUAAAGGCCCACCAAGGCGAUGAUCAGUAGCUGGUCUGAGAGGAUGAUCAGCCACACUGGGACUGAGACACGGCCCAG